GGGUUUUUGUGUCCUCCAAUAAUCGUCAUCGGCGUUGAAGUCAUAAUCAGUCGACCUCUAGUACACACACACAACACACAUGUACAGACAUCCAGUGUUAGUGAUUUACAACUCACACUAUGAACACACUAUGAAUACACUAUGCAAGAAAGACAUGGUGAUAGUUUGCAUUUCAUAUCUAUAUCAUACCUCCCUUUCUCUGUCCCUCUCUCUCUCCCUCUCACCUCUCUCCCUUACUCUCUCCUCUUUUCCCUCCCUCCCUCUCUCCCUCCCUCUCUCCUCUCUCCCUUCCUUUCUCCUCUCUCCCCUCCCUCCCUCUCUCUUUCCUCUGACACCUCCCUCCCUCUCUCUCCCUCACUCCCUUUCUCCUCUCUCCCCUCCCUCUUUCAUCUGACCCCUCCCUCUCUCCUCUCUCCUUCCCUCCCUCUCUCUCCCUCCCUCUCUCCUCUCUCCCCUCCCUCUCUCCUCUCUCCCAUCCUCUCUCUCCCUCCUUCUCCCUUUCUCAACUCUCCCUCCCUCUCUCCUCUCUCCCUUCCUCCCUCUCUCUCCCUCCCUCUCUCCUCUCUCCCCUCCCUCUCUCCUCUCUCCCUUCCUCUCUCUCCCUUCCUCCUCCCUUUCUCCUCUCUCCCCUCCCUCUUUCAUCUGACCCCUCCCUCUCUCCUCUCUCCCUCCCUCCAUCUCUCUACCUCCCUCUCUCCUCUCUCCCCUCACUCUCUCCUCUCUCCCUUCCUCUCUCUCUCUCCCUCCCUCCUCCCUUUCUCAACUCUCCCUCCCUCUCUCAUCUCUCCCACCCUCUCUCAUCUCUCCCACCCUCUCACCCUUCUCCCAGCUCCUUCUCUUCUCUCCCCUCCCUCUCUGCUCUCUCCCUCCCUCUCUGCUCUCUCUCUCCCUCCCUCUCUGCUCUCUCCCUCCCUCUCUGCUCUAGUUGACUUCAGUGGUGGCUCAGUGGGCAGUAAAGGAGUGAGGAGGGCUCUCAGACCUCUACAGACACAGGUCCGUCCUCCGAGGCAUGCCUGCUACCCCGCUCCUCUCUGGUGCCCCCUCAGCCCUCCUCCCCAGGAAGGGCAGUGUGAAGGCAGCCACCAUGGGGCGCACCUUGCCCCCUCCAAAGGCCCUGCCAACUCUCCCUUGCACCUGCCCAAAGAAUGCAACCGCUCUCUUGGGGACCUCAAGG
Oncorhynchus tshawytscha (Chinook salmon) is the source of this 1174-nucleotide long non-coding RNA. The record is from Ensembl. Lineage: Eukaryota; Metazoa; Chordata; Actinopteri; Salmoniformes; Salmonidae.